RNAcentral lists this ribosomal RNA (253 nucleotides) under uncultured bacterium. RNAcentral describes it as "partial 16S ribosomal RNA". It matches the Rfam family "Bacterial small subunit ribosomal RNA", at positions 524 to 776 of the family's 1533-position model. The record is from RNAcentral.
UACAGAGGGGGCAAGCGUUGUUCGGAAUUACUGGGCGUAAAGGGCGCGUAGGCGGCCGCCUAAGUCAGACGUGAAAUCCCUCGGCUCAACCGGGGAACUGCGUCUGAUACUGGGUGGCUUGAAUCCGGGAGAGGGAUGCGGAAUUCCAGGUGUAGCGGUGAAAUGCGUAGAUAUCUGGAGGAACACCGGUGGCGAAGGCGGCAUCCUGGACCGGCAUUGACGCUGAGGCGCGAAAGCGUGGGGAGCAAACAGG